GAUGAACGCUGGCGGCGUGCUUAACACAUGCAAGUCGAACGGAAAGGCCCUGCGUUUGUGGGGUGCUCGAGUGGCGAACGCGUGAGUAACACAUGUGUAACCUUCCCUUAACAUUCGGGUAUCUUUAGGAAACUGAGGCUCAUACCGGAUAUAAGCUAUUGCUGCAUAGUGGUGGUUGGAAAAUUUCGGCGGUUGGGGCUGGACUCGCGGCUUAUCAGCUUGUUGGUCGAGUAGUGGAUUACCAAGGCUUCGACGGGUAGCCGGCCUGAGAGGGUGACCGGCCACAUUGGGACUGAGAGACGGACCAGACUCCUACGGGAGGCAGAAGGCGGGAAUAUUGCACAAUGGGCGGAAGCCAGAUGCAGCAACCCCGCGUGCGUGAUGAAGGCCGUCGGGUUGUAAACCGCUGUCGCCUGUGACGUAGAGUGAGUGACGGUAAUGGGUAAAGAAGCACCGGCUAACUACGUG
RNAcentral lists this ribosomal RNA (468 nucleotides) under uncultured bacterium. Its description in RNAcentral is "partial 16S ribosomal RNA". It matches the Rfam family "Bacterial small subunit ribosomal RNA", at positions 28 to 507 of the family's 1533-position model. The record is from RNAcentral.